GCCUGGGUGACGGAAUUGGUAGACGUAGCGGACUUAAAAUCCGCCGGCGAGAGCUGUACGGGUUCGAGUCCCGUCCCAGGCACCA
Molecule: transfer RNA, 85 nt
Filed under: Novimethylophilus kurashikiensis
Lineage: Bacteria; Pseudomonadati; Pseudomonadota; Betaproteobacteria; Nitrosomonadales; Methylophilaceae
Description: tRNA-Leu
Rfam family: tRNA
About the family: Transfer RNA (tRNA) molecules are approximately 80 nucleotides in length.
Source: RNAcentral